CCUACGGGAGGCAGCAGUGGGGAAUAUUGCACAAUGGGGGAAACCCUGAUGCAGCGACGCCGCGUGAGUGAAGAAGGAUUUCGGUAUGUAAAGCUCUAUCAGAAGGGAAGAAAAAAGACCGUACCUCACUAAAAAGCCCAGGCUAAAUACGUUCCAGCAGCCGCGGUAAUACGGAGGUGGGAAGCGUUGUCCGGAUUUACUGGGGGUAAAGGGAGCGUAGACGGGGCGGCAAGUCUGAAGUGAAAGGCAGGGGCCUAACCCCCAAACUGCCUUGGAAACUGUCAUGCUAGAGUACUGGAGAGGUAAGUGGAAUUCCUAGUGUAGCGGUGAAAUGCGUAGAUAUAAGGAGGAACACCAGUGGCGAAGGCGGCUUACUGGACAGUAACUGACGGUGAGGCUCGAAAGCGUGGGGAGCAAACAGGAUUAGAUACCCGUGUAGUC
This 441-nucleotide ribosomal RNA is filed under the name uncultured bacterium. Its description in RNAcentral is "partial 16S ribosomal RNA". It matches the Rfam family "Bacterial small subunit ribosomal RNA", at positions 338 to 795 of the family's 1533-position model. The record is from RNAcentral.